RNAcentral lists this ribosomal RNA (447 nucleotides) under Aeribacillus sp. H01M104. Its description in RNAcentral is "bacterial SSU rRNA". It matches the Rfam family "Bacterial small subunit ribosomal RNA", at positions 95 to 526 of the family's 1533-position model. The record is from RNAcentral. RNAcentral also lists the same sequence under 9 other names. Lineage: Bacteria; Bacillati; Bacillota; Bacilli; Caryophanales; Bacillaceae.
GCGGCGGACGGGUGAGUAACACGUGGGCAACCUGCCCUGCAGACUGGGAUAACUUCGGGAAACCGGAGCUAAUACCGGAUAACACCGAAAACCGCAUGGUUUUCGGUUGAAAGGCGGCUUUUAGCUGUCACUGCAGGAUGGGCCCGCGGCGCAUUAGCUAGUUGGUGAGGUAACGGCUCACCAAGGCGACGAUGCGUAGCCGACCUGAGAGGGUGACCGGCCACACUGGGACUGAGACACGGCCCAGACUCCUACGGGAGGCAGCAGUAGGGAAUCUUCCGCAAUGGACGAAAGUCUGACGGAGCAACGCCGCGUGAGCGAAGAAGGUCUUCGGAUCGUAAAGCUCUGUUGUCAGGGAAGAACAAGUGCCGUUCGAACAGGGCGGUACCUUGACGGUACCUGACAAGGAACCCACGGCUAACUACUUGCCACCACCCGCGGUAAUAC